This 195-nucleotide non-coding RNA is filed under the name Odoribacter splanchnicus. RNAcentral also lists the same sequence under 1 other name. Lineage: Bacteria; Pseudomonadati; Bacteroidota; Bacteroidia; Bacteroidales; Odoribacteraceae. The record is from RNAcentral.
ACCUUUGCGGCCGGUUGUGGUAAUGCAGUAUUUUUCUUUGCUGUUUAAAAGGGAAUCCGGUUGGAAUCCGGAACAGUGCCCGCUACUGUGAACCCUGUGUGUAGAAAAGCGUCUUACACCACUGUCCGGAUGUAAGGAUGGGAAGGUUGCUUUUCUGGGGUAAGUCAGGAGACCUGCCAUGAUUGUAUAGGUAAU